Long non-coding RNA from Caretta caretta (loggerhead turtle), 496 nucleotides. RefSeq lists it as uncharacterized. NCBI's taxonomy places the organism in Eukaryota, Metazoa, Chordata, Testudines, Cheloniidae. The record is from RefSeq and is a predicted model, not a curated record.
UUCUGGGGGACCAGAGCCAGCCCCAGCCCCGUACUGCAGUCUCGGAUGAUGACUCAGCACACGUUGUUCAUUUUAAGAACAGAUUCACUGCAGAUUUGACGAAACUCAGAGAAGGUACCAAUGUGAGAUUUAUAAAGAUAGCUACCUCACUCUACCCAAGAUUCAAGAAUCUGAAGUGUCUUCCAAAAUCUGAUCAGGAUGGAGUGUGGAGCAUGCUUUCAGAAUCUUAAAAGAGCAACAAUCCAAUGUGGAAACUAUAGAACUUGAACCACCAACAAAGAAAAUCAACCUUCUGCUGGUGGCAUCUGACUCCGAUAAUGAAAAUGAACAUGCAUUGUCCACAGUGACUUUGGAUCGUGAUUGAGCAGAACCCGCCAUCAGCAUGGACACAUGGUGGUCGAAGCAUGAAAGGGGACAUAUGAAUGUUUAGUGAAUCUGACACAUAAAUAUCUUGGUAUAUAAACAAAUAAAUGGUAUUAUAUUAUGGUUUAACAGA